Molecule: ribosomal RNA, 396 nt
Filed under: uncultured bacterium
Lineage: Bacteria
Description: partial 16S ribosomal RNA
Rfam family: Bacterial small subunit ribosomal RNA
Source: RNAcentral
AUACGUAGGGAGCGAGCGUUGUCCGGAAUUACUGGGUGUAAAGGGUGCGUAGGCGGGACUGCAAGUCAGAUGUGAAAUGCCGGGGCUCAACCCCGGAGCUGCAUUUGAAACUGUGGUUCUUGAGUGAGGUAGAGGUAAGCGGAAUUCCUAGUGUAGCGGUGAAAUGCGUAGAUAUUAGGAGGAACACCAGUGGCGAAGGCGGCCUGCUGGACGACAACUGACGCUGAGGCGCGAAAGCGUGGGGAGCAAACAGGAUUAGAUACCCUGGUAGUCCACGCUGUAAACGAUGAAUACUAGGUGUGGGGGGACUGACCCCCUCCGUGCCGCAGUUAACACAAUGAGUAUUCCACCUGGGGAGUACGAUCGCAAGAUUGAAACUCAAAUGAAUUGGCGGGG